AAGCUCGUAGUUGAAUUUCGGAAUGUCGCCGGUCAAAGCUCGUCCUUGUGGCGUGGCUGGAUUGGUGCUUCCUAGCUUCGGAUUGGCCAGCAAUGGUCUCCGAUCAUUUACUUUGAAAAAAUUGAGUGUUCAAAGCAGGCGUAACCUUGCCAUUGAAUAUUACAGCAUGGGAUAAUAGAAUAUGACGUUGGUCUUAUUUUGUUGGUUUCUAAGGCUGAUGUAAUGAUUAAUAGGGAUAGUUGGG
This 244-nucleotide ribosomal RNA is filed under the name uncultured eukaryote. RNAcentral describes it as "partial 18S ribosomal RNA". It matches the Rfam family "Eukaryotic small subunit ribosomal RNA", at positions 624 to 886 of the family's 1831-position model. The record is from RNAcentral.